Molecule: ribosomal RNA, 190 nt
Filed under: uncultured bacterium
Lineage: Bacteria
Description: partial 16S ribosomal RNA
Rfam family: Bacterial small subunit ribosomal RNA
Source: RNAcentral
UCGCCUGUAUGAAGUCGGAAUUGCUAGUAAUCGUGGAUCAGCAUGCCACGGUGAAUACGUUCCCGGGCCUUGUACACACCGCCCGUCACACCAUGAGAGCCGGGAACACCCGAAGUCCGUAGUCUAACCUAUAUGGAGGACGCGGCCGAAGGUGGGUUUGGUAAUUGGGGUGAAGUCGUAACAAGGUAUC